RNAcentral lists this ribosomal RNA (361 nucleotides) under uncultured rumen bacterium. Its description in RNAcentral is "bacterial SSU rRNA". It matches the Rfam family "Bacterial small subunit ribosomal RNA", at positions 19 to 363 of the family's 1533-position model. The record is from RNAcentral.
UUGGCUCAGGAUGAACGCUGGCGGCGUGCUUAACACAUGCAAGUCGAACGAGGUAUAAGGACGGAAGUUUUCGGACGGAAGAUCUUGUACUGAGUGGCGGACGGGUGAGUAACGCGUGGGAAACCUGCCCUGUUCCGGGGGAUACCAGUUGGAAACGACUGUUAAUACCGCAUAAGCGCACAGCACCGCAUGGUGCAGUGUGAAAAACUCCGGUGGAACAGGAUGGUCCCGCGUCUGAUUAGGCAGUUGGCAGGGUAACGGCCUACCAAACCGACGAUCAGUAGCCGGCCUGAGAGGGUGAACGGCCACAUUGGGACUGAGACACGGCCCAAACUCCUACGGGAGGCAGCAGUGGGGAAUA